Molecule: ribosomal RNA, 497 nt
Filed under: uncultured bacterium
Lineage: Bacteria
Description: partial 16S ribosomal RNA
Rfam family: Bacterial small subunit ribosomal RNA
Source: RNAcentral
GAUGAACGCUGGCGGCGUGCCUAAUACAUGCAAGUCGAGCGAACAGACGAGUAGCUUGCUCCUCUGACGUUAGCGGCGGACGGGUGAGUAACACGUGGUUAACCUACCUAUAAGACUGGGAUAACUUCGGUAAAUCGGAGCUAAUACCGGAUAACAUGUUGAACCUCAUGGUUCAACAGUUAAAGACGCUCUUGCUUUUACUUAUAGAUUGAUCCGCGCCGCAUUAGCUAGUUGGUAAGGUAACGGCUUACCAAGGCAACGAUGCGUAGCCGACCUGAGAGGGGGAACAACCAAACUGGAACUGAGGAGAAGUCCAGACUCCCAAGGGGGGCAACAGUAGGGAAUCGUCCGGAAUGGGAGAAAGCCAAAGAGAGAAAGGCCGCGGGAGAUAAGAAGGGCUUCGGGUCGGAAAAAGCUGAUGGUAGGGGAGAACAAAGGAGUAAGUAACAAAGAACGGCUUGACGGUACCGAAACAGAAAGCCACGGCUAACUACGUG